GAUGAAGAACGUAGUGAAAUGCGAUAAGUAGUGUGAAUUGCAGAAUUCAGUGAAUCAUCGAAUCUUUGAACGCACAUUGCGCCCUUUGGUAUUCCAAAGGGCAUGCCUGUUCGAGCGUCAUUUGUACCCUCAAGCUUUGCUUGGUGUUGGGCGUCUUGUCUCUAGCUUUGCUGGAGACUCGCCUUAAAGUAAUUGGCGGCCGGCCUACUGGUUUCGGAGCGCAGCACAAGUCGCACUCUCUAUCAGCAAAGGUCUAGCAUCCAUUAAGCCUUUUUUUCAACUUUUGACCUCGGAUCAGAUAGGGAUACCCGCUGAACUUAAGCAUAUCAAUAAGCGGAGGA
RNAcentral lists this unclassified non-coding RNA (341 nucleotides) under soil metagenome. Its description in RNAcentral is "partial contains 5.8S ribosomal RNA, internal transcribed spacer 2, and large subunit ribosomal RNA". The stretch from base 1 to 120 matches the Rfam family "5.8S ribosomal RNA", at positions 35 to 154 of the family's 154-position model. The record is from RNAcentral.